RNAcentral lists this ribosomal RNA (483 nucleotides) under uncultured bacterium. RNAcentral's name for it is "bacterial SSU rRNA". It matches the Rfam family "Bacterial small subunit ribosomal RNA", at positions 28 to 507 of the family's 1533-position model. The record is from RNAcentral.
GAUGAACGCUAGCGGCAGGCCUAACACAUGCAAGUCGAGGGGCAGCACAGGUAGCAAUACUGGGUGGCGACCGGCGGAUGGGUGCGUAACGCGUAUGCAACCUACCAUUGAUUGGGGCAUAGCCCGAAGAAAUUCGGAUUAAUACUCCAUAAUAUUCAUCAAAGGCAUCUUUUAUGAAUUAAAGCUUUUGCGAUCAAUGAUGGGCAUGCGUGACAUUAGUUAGUUGGUGAGGUAACGGCUCACCAAAACGAUGAUGUCUAGGGGUUCUGAGAGGAUUAUCCCCCACACUGGUACUGAGACACGGACCAGACUCCUACGGGAGGCAGCAGUGAGGAAUAUUGGUCAAUGGACGCAAGUCUGAACCAGCCAUGCCGCGUGCAGGAUGACGGCCCUAUGGGUCGUAAACUGCUUUUCCACGGGAAGAACCCUCCGACGUGUCGGAGACUGACGGUACCGUGGGAAUAAGCAUCGGCUAACUCCGUG